UUGAACGCUGGCGGAAUGCUUUACACAUGCAAGUCGAACGGCAGCACGGGGGCAACCCUGGUGGCGAGUGGCGAACGGGUGAGUAAUGUAUCGGAACGUACCCAGUCGUGGGGGAUAACUAUCCGAAAGGAUAGCUAAUACCGCAUACGUCCUGAGGGAGAAAGCGGGGGAUCGCAAGACCUCGCGCGAUUGGAGCGGCCGAUAUCGGAUUAGCUAGUUGGUGAGGUAAAGGCUCACCAAGGCGACGAUCCGUAGCGGGUCUGAGAGGACGACCCGCCACACUGGAACUGAGACACGGUCCAGACUCCUACGGGAGGCAGCAGUGGGGAAUUUUGGACAAUGGGCGCAAGCCUGAUCCAGCAAUGCCGCGUGCAGGAAGAAGGCCUUCGGGUUGUAAACUGCUUUUGUACGGAGCGAAAAGGCUCUCUCUAAUACAGGGGGCUCAUGACGGUACCGUAAGAAUAAGCACCGGCUAACUACGU
RNAcentral lists this ribosomal RNA (482 nucleotides) under uncultured bacterium. Its description in RNAcentral is "bacterial SSU rRNA". It matches the Rfam family "Bacterial small subunit ribosomal RNA", at positions 30 to 506 of the family's 1533-position model. The record is from RNAcentral.